This is an RNA transcript of Vespula vulgaris, 1754 nucleotides long. It is a transcript of the gene named active regulator of SIRT1-like, with no coding region annotated. The record is from RefSeq and is a predicted model, not a curated record. The transcript is spliced from 6 exons. NCBI's taxonomy places the organism in Eukaryota, Metazoa, Arthropoda, Insecta, Hymenoptera, Vespidae.
AUUUAUGUGAACUUUUUGACGUACAUGUAUAAUCUAUAGAUAUUUGUUAUUAUUAUUAAUUAGUAAUAAAUUUGUAAAAAGAUAAUAAUAUGUCUAAUUCGCUUGUUCGUAAGAGUCUUGAACUCUCUGGAUACGAUGAUAUGAAAAAAGAAAAGAAGAAAAAGAAACAUAAUGGUUAUAAAGGAACUUUAGAAUUAAUUCCUACUAAGUAUAGAAUUAUUACUUCCAAAGAAAAGACAAAUAUCAAUAAUAUUUUGGAUCGGUCUAAUAAAGUUACUGUAUAUGAAGCUAAAAAGCGACUGGAAACAAAAAAGGAUUUAAUGGAAGAAAAUAUACAGAAUCUUUUAUUAUUAAGUAGUAAUUGUUUGGAUCAGCAUACAGUUAAUAAAGUUUUAAAACGAGCUGUUAAGAAACGAUAUAUUCCAAAAGAGAAAAAGAAGGCAAAACAAGAAAGUACUGUAUUUACGGAAGAAGAUUUUAAGAAGUUCGAACAAGAAUAUGUAGAUCAGUAAGAAGAUUUUUUUUGGGUAAAUGUGGGAAUAGAUUUAAGACUAGAAAAAAAUCAUUGAUAGACAGUGUAUGGAUAUUAAAUAUGCAAUAAAUGUUUUUAGAGUAAACUUAAAAAAGAUAACACAUGAAAUAGUUAGCAUUUAAGAGAAAUAUUAAGAAAGAAUAUUCUAUGAAAUGGAUACCUGAACAUUGGCAAACAAUUCAUAACUUUGUGAUUUGAAUGAGUAUUUAGUUUACAUAUUAAUAUAUUAUAUCAUAAUAAAAUAAUAGCUUAAGAAUUGACAGAUGUUAUUUUUCAUAAACAAAUUAUUAAAUCGAAAAAAUAAGGAAAAGGAGACAAAAUAGAUAUAUUGUAAUAUUAAAUAUUUAAUAUUUACACCAGACACAUUAAUAUUGAUAUAAAUUACAGAUUUGUGUAUCAUGUGGAAAUAUUUUAAAUAAAAAUUCGAUGAUAUUAUAUUAUAGUAUUUAACAGUAACGUUUUUUUUUUCUGAAUUGACUAAUAAAACUAGUAUAUCAAAAAUUAUAUUGUGGAUUAAGUAAUGGAGAACAAUUUUCUUUUGUUAUUUUUUUUAUAGUAAUCUAAAUAAUAAUUUAUGUGACAAUUGAUAUGUCAUUAAACUGACAUUGUAAAUUGCAUAUUUUAUAAAACUUGAUUAACAUCUAUGAAAUAACAACCUUAAUAUAAGGGAUUGAGUAUGCAGGAGAUCGAUUAGCUUUUCAAAGAAAGGGUAGAGUAAAUACAUGGCUUUAUUAUAGUCAGAAAAAUGAAAAAUCUCUUAAUGAUUAUACAUAUGCCUAGAUGGUCUAAAAAAUCCAAUUUUUAUAAUUUUUUGUUUUACAUAUAAUUUAUUUUAUCAUUAAAUAAUGUAGUAGGAUGUACAUCGAGCAGUAUUUUUUUGUGGACUCGGCGCAUAUGUAUUCCACCUAUGCUGACGUUCGUGUUUUCUCGUUUUCCAUUGUUUAGACCAUCCCCGUUUUGUAGAGGAGUUAAUUAAAGGUAACAGAAAGAAUAAAUAUCAGACAGAGUAUUCCAACGACACAGAUGACCAUCAGAUGAUUAUUUGUGCUGACCAAUGAAUGCACUCCGCAGAAGAAUCCAAUCGCUACAUAUGAUUCACAACAAUUUCUUAAAAAUUUAACUAACGAUUAUUAUAUACGAUAUGGGGACUUUGCAAAUUAGAUAAAAAUAGUAAAUUGUAUAAAGAAAGAACAUUUAGAAAUUACAAAAAUUCUACGGAUUA